UACGUAGGUGGCAAGCGUUGUCCGGAUUUACUGGGCGUAAAGAGCGCGCAGGCGGUCGUUCAAGUCGCGUGUGAAAGCCCCCGGCUCAACUGGGGAGGGUCACGCGAUACUGGUCGACUCGAAGGCAGGAGAGGGUAGUGGAAUUCCCGGUGUAGUGGUGAAAUGCGUAGAUAUCUGGAGGAACACCGGUGGCGAAGGCGGCAUCCUGGACCAAUAUUGACGCUGAGGAGCGAAAGCUAGGGGAGCAAACGGG
RNAcentral lists this ribosomal RNA (253 nucleotides) under uncultured bacterium. RNAcentral describes it as "partial 16S ribosomal RNA". It matches the Rfam family "Bacterial small subunit ribosomal RNA", at positions 524 to 776 of the family's 1533-position model. The record is from RNAcentral.